GUGAGUUCCCAGAGAGCAGAGUUCCACAAGUGGGCAGAUUGGGCAGGAGAGGCCAGGAAUGGAGGGAUGCCACCCUGGCCAGAGCUUGGAACAGAUUCAC
This is a ribozyme of Mesocricetus auratus (golden hamster), 100 nucleotides long. It matches the Rfam family "Nuclear RNase P". From Rfam's summary of the family: Ribonuclease P (RNase P) is a ubiquitous endoribonuclease, found in archaea, bacteria and eukarya as well as chloroplasts and mitochondria. Lineage: Eukaryota; Metazoa; Chordata; Mammalia; Rodentia; Cricetidae. The record is from Ensembl.